Gallus gallus (chicken) is the source of this 6757-nucleotide long non-coding RNA. RefSeq lists it as uncharacterized. The record is from RefSeq and is a predicted model, not a curated record. Lineage: Eukaryota; Metazoa; Chordata; Aves; Galliformes; Phasianidae. The transcript has 2 exons.
UCUCCUCUCCUCCCUACGUGGUUGGUGGGGUUGUUGCACAUAUGCUUCCUUCUCAAGGAAAACCUCAAACUCUUGGCACCAACACCUUACAAGGAAAACAAAACCUUUUGUCUCCAUUCGUUACAAUGCCUACACUGUAAGUUUUGCACAAAACACUCACUAUUCAACCACCUUCAGAGGUGAAUGCUAAUUCACCUUUCAUCACCAAGUAAUAAUUAAAUGAUAUGAAAGAGCAAAAAGGCCACAUCCAAGAGGCUUCAGGCACUCAAAGCACAACUUGGAUAGGCACUUAAAGCAUCCACUGAUGGUGGCAGUUGUUAUUAGCGUGAUGCUUCAACAUUAUUUAACAACAAUUUAAGAUCUACUUGCCAGAAAGAGUAAAUGGGGAGUGCAGCUUUGGGGCCCAGUGCCAGGCACACUCAUAAAGGAAAGGAAGAAUGAGUUUCUCUUUCCUGAACAGUUUCUAAAUUUUACAAGAAAUAGUCCUGGUAUAUGCACACAAGGAGCUCCACUGAAAUCAACUGCAUCAACAUGCAGCUUGUUCAGUUCUACCCAUAAAAGCUCAAAAGCUUUGCUAAAGUGAGGCUGGCUAUGCAUUACAGACACUCAGCACUUCCUAAAGGCUGCCCCUUCUCCAUCCCAUUCAACCUCCUCAGGAGACUGCUGGACCAACAAGCCAUAAAGCUUUUGUGUUAAUCUCUUGCAAAAUGACUGUUAGCCAAGAUGAAGAAACAGCAAGAGCUGCUCUGUUCUCUGUACAGCACUGCAGUUUUUAGAAUAAAAUAGUGGAUUUGGGGAAGAAAAAAAAAAUCUCCAUGCCAUGAUAAUGCAACCACCACCAUGUAUGGCUUAAGAUUAUGCGGACAAGAUACAGGAAUUCAAGUGUUCAGGGAUUAUAAUGUCUUCUCCUUACAAUCAGCAAUUUUCUGUAACUGACACUUAAAACCACUAAACCAUUCUCAGUCUCUUUUGAAGAACAGAGGCCUUUUAGAAAGCUCAACUGUAAACUACAGGAGAUGAUGCUAAAAGUCAGAUGAAAACUCCCCAGUGCUAAUACCAUGGAACAUAAGCUUUGUACCGUACGGUAGUAUUUAAUAAGUUACCCAACAUAAUCUGGAAACUUACAUAUAUAUUUGCAUAUAUCCUUCAUCAGUCAGCUCAAAUCUAUCAAAGCAUCAUGUGAAGUUACUAUAUGAACCAUAAGAGAGCAGAUAAAACACACAAAGCUACUUAAACCAGAUAAAUUAUUUUCUAUACAUAGAUGUAGGUAAAUCAACACCGCCUAAGUUUUACAAAUAUCCCUCUGGAAAUGCUGGGAAGUGUAUUCUCAUUGUAAGUGAGAUGUUCUCGCUUUGCUGAGAACGGAGAUGUCUCUGUAAAAUUGCCUAUGUGUUACCCAUAUAGUACAGUUCAUGCUACUGUAAAUCACUGGGCAAAUACUACUACAUGAGAUCAGCAGAAAUCUACACAGUGAGGUUGUUAUAUCAUACAAAGUGUGAAAAUGAGAGAGGUAGCUGGGUGCCUCACCUCCUUAGGAUCACUGGUGUUUUUCUGAUAGUAAAAUAUGCAGUGGUGGCAAUAACACAUAUUCCACUCUGAAUAACCUCACUGACAGCUUUUUUCCUCCCUCUCUCCAAACUCUAAGGAUUCUAUCUAGAAUUAAUCUGAGAAUAAACCAGUGCCCACUGAAAGAAUGGGAUUAGUUAUAAAGAGGAGCUGCUUGCUUCACGUGCUUAUAUUGCACAUUUACAUUCACAUGCAAGUUUAGUGAGAUACACCAACAAUUAAGAAAUGCUGUGAAUGUAGGAAAGUUUAUUUAUUCUGUAUGUGGGGGGGAGAAGAAAAAUGUAAACACACUGAUCAGUUGCUGCAUAUAAAGCAGGACAUGUGAAACCCAAGCAGUCUUUGGCUUCACUUUUCAUCAAAAAAAAAAAAAAAAAAAUCAGCCUCCUCUGUCCUAACAGUUAAAAAUAUAUCUAUAUAAAAGGUCAAGAGUGUCUGUACUACAGCUUUAAAACACUUGACAGAAGAACGCUAUUGUAACCUACAUCCUAGCUGCAUUUGUAUUUUCACCUUCAAAAGAAGUUAGAAAACUGAAGUACAAAAAACUGCUAACACCACAAAAAUAUAUAUUUUUAGCUGCAAACAUACUAAGUCUUUAAAAAAAGUCUAUAUACAAGAACUGCAUAAUUGCAAUGUCAUUCUUCCAUCAUCGCCCAAGCCUCUUCUGCUUUCUGGUAGUACUGAUUUGCCAGUCUGCCCUUCAUUGCUUCCAUUGCUGCUUCCGCUGCUUCUGUGUAGAGAUCACCUAAGGCAGGAAACAGUAUCAGUCACAUUGACAAGGUUACCAAUGGCUGCAAGUGUUGAAUAUGUCUGAAAAACAGGCUCCAAAUUGCUGAGGAGAUGAUUAAUAAAAUUACUUAGAAAAAAAAAACUUCCUAAAGAUACACAGUGAAUUGCUGGCAACAUCAUCAACAGGCAGUGGUUUUGGUGCUUUGUCCAAGUCCUUAACUACAAAGUCAUCCAUCUUCUCUGAAGAGACUACAGAACAUCUAACCAUUGCUUUGUCUCCAUUUCCUCCUAUUCUCGUAUUACUUUUCCAUGUGAACAUGAUUUUGGAUUUUGAAAUUUUCUUUCCUUUUUCUUGUUUACCUCUAAAGUGACCUCAGAAAGAAUGUGAUGUGGCAGCUGUGAGCACAUGAGUCCUAACCCAACAAUGGCUUCCAGCUCCCCGCAGUCUGCAGCAUGCUCCAGGUGGAACAGAGCUGACUCACGAUCCCACUCCUUGUCCUUCUCACAGAAACGCCCCGCCUCAUGGUAACGAACCAUGGCCAGAUGAACCUACAACACAGUAAUACAGGAAAGAUACACAAGUUUGAGUGCAGAUCUGAUUCGUCAGAAGCCAUGUGCCCAUACUUCACUGAGGCACAGAAAUAUCUCGCUGAGGUGUCUACUUAAAGUUGUGCACGCCCCUGCAGAACCAACAGCGGAAACCUUCCCAAAGGAGCCCAACUACUGCAAGUCCAAAGGCAGAUGGAACACAUGGGUUCCUGAACUCAGACAUCCCUUACGAAAUAUGAUCAGGUGACAGAAAGCAUCACACACUUGCCAUUUAUUUUUCACCUGCAAGAUUAACUCAUGCAGGGAAGCACCCAUACAUAAAUAAAAAUACAAGAUCACUUCUUCCAUCUGGAAAGAACAGAAUUACCAAAUCCAUCCUACCUUCCCAAGGAUUGACUUCCCAAUUUUCUUUUCAAGUUCUAGUGCAUUGAGCCUCUGAAUUUCUUGAGCAACACAGGAUGGUCUGUGGAUGUGGACUCUGGAAGAAUUGUAGAGAUUCCAUUUCUCCACACUUAUCUGAAAUGUGGAAUGUAAUACCAAAUUAAAACUUCUACACUAUUCAUUUUGAUUGCCAUUCAGAAAUCAAAGCCUCUAUUGAUAAUACCAUUGAUUAGUAACUUCUUAUUCUAGAAACUAGUUACAACAGGCUAUAUUUUAUAAAAGCAUACAAACAGGUCUGUUUUUCCCUAGGUCAGUUACACAUACAGUGGUGAGAGGCACUUAAAAUGCUACAGGCUUUAAAAACCUUACCCAGCUAUGUAUAUGACACAAUUUGAAAAUAAAGUGCAGAAAUGCAAUAUCAAGUUAGGCAGAAAAAAAUCCAUAGAACUAUCAUUUCUUUUUGAGUUAGAAACCCAGGCAGAGUCACUAAUUUACAUUAGGUACCAGUUACAGAGGUGACUAUUUAUUUAUGAUGGUAUUUCUUUAAGUGAAAAAUAAAGUCAAAAACAAAAAGGAAAGAACACAGAGGGGUACGUUAUUAUUAGCAGAAAUUCUGUAGCUGAAAAGGAAGGAAAACUAAUAUCUGAUUUAGUGAUGUAAAGCUAAACGGUAGAUGAGUGGAACAAAGGACAAGCAGAGUGGUAAACUCAUUGUCUAUGAACAUUUCUGCUUUGUUUACCCUUGCAGAGCUUCCCAAACUGUCUUCAUCAGAUUCAUGUCUUCGGUUGUUGUUUGAAUGGCCCUAUGUUAACGUAAAGAUUUGCAACAUUUAAUUUAAAGCAACCAAUAUGUGCAAGUUACUCCCUUAUAUUACUCCUAUCCAGGAAAACAGGGAAAACAAUCAAAAUAGUUUCCAGUGGAUUCUCUUCACUCAGUGAUGCUGCAGUAUAAGAUAAAAAGGAACGUGCUGAAAUGUAAGGAAUAUAGCACCACCGAGCUUUAAACUAGAUACUCUAUGACAAAUACCCUGCCACUUCAAAGGUGACAAAAAAAGCGCUACCCUUUGAAGCGAUAUUCUCUUUCCUAUCUACAAAUAAGAUAUCUAGUUAAGAUGCUCAGGUCAAAAAGCUUUUCUUUGUAAGUUUUUGUUUUAAGGGAGUAACCACCUAUACCACAGGAAUUCUACUGUUGCAUAUUAUUAACCAAGAACAAUAGUAAAUACUGUGAUACUUCAAGCCAUAACAAGUAAUAGAAAGUAGAGAGGGUAAAGUCUGAAAGCAGGGCACAUUCACAGAUUCAAUAUUACUUGCUAUUAAGGAAUGUUUUUCAAAUGCAAUACACUAUGCAUGGAAAAAAAAAAAACGUAAACCAACAAUAUGCAAUCAAAUGUGAUGUUUGAAAUUAAACUCCUCGUUACAAAUAAGUGUGAAGGUGUCAUGGAUAUUCCCCAGAUGAGAAUUUUGCAAUGUGAGGAAAUUUCUUUCCAAGUGCUUCCUCUGUUUACCAAGUCUAGAUCAGGAGGGAUGAAAAUGAGAUUCUUGUACAGAAUCACUUCAAGUAUGAACAAAAGGCUUAAUUCUGCUAAGCCCACAGUCAGGUUCUUACCUUCUCUCUAUGAUCCAGAUCUUCUAGCUCACUUCUCUUCUCACUGGGAUAUCCACUGUCUCCACCAUUUUCAAAAUCCUACAGAAGAUGAAAAGAAAGCAUCGCAGAAUUAGCACUAUGCUUUGUAAGGAUCUCAGCUCAACACUUCCACAGAGGAAAAUUUCUGCUUGGUUUAAAGACGUAUGUUGUUUAACCUCUGACAGACAGAACAAGACUUAAUGACUCAGAAGAUACAGUUCAAGUCCAUGUUUCCUCUAAGAUAUAUUAUAAAUAAAUAAAAAUCAAGGAUGCAUUUUCAAUCAAGCCAUGAGUCCAUUUAAUGUAGUUUUGACUUCAGUCUUUUUGUCUUAGGCAGUUAAAAGAUAAAACAAUUAAUGGACAGCCCUGGUAUGGCGGUCCUGGUGUAGGAAAAUUCCUCUCACAAACUUACUGCAGUCUCCUCAGCUGAGAUUCUCUAACAUCCCACAGUAUGGAUAUUUGCAGAGACCUAAUCAAUGGGGAUUCUGUUUAGAUGUCAUACCACAGCUGCUGGCAAAAGUGCCAGAGGCACACACAGCAUGCAGGCAGGGGAACAGAUACAUACUUUAAUUAUCUGUUAAAAUAUACCAGAUGUAAAUAAGUUACUGAAGAAAAAAAUAUACUAUUUCAAAAUAAAAUAUUCUUCCUUUAUAAGAAACAACAAAUUCAUGAAGGUAAUGGGACCUGCAGCACUGAGAGCAGCUGAGAGCCUUCAUGUGCUCUUACUGAGCAAAGCCUUCUGAUAGUUCUUUGAAGAGAUAUUCUCUAAGGAACUGCAAUCUCAUUUUCCAUUGGAAAGACACUCACCCUUUGGUUAUCAAGCUGAUCAUAGUCUUUGUGAACCAAAUUAUCUACUUCAUUGAACACAGGCCAAUCUAGGACAAAAAAAAAAGUGCAUCUUAUUCUAAGGAUAACAUGCCUAAGGAGAAAAUUCUAGAUGUUAUCUUACUUCAAUCAGUUUCUUCAUAAAAACAUCCUUAAGAAAUGAAAACAUUAAUUGUCUACACAGAAGUACUUUGACUAAAUACAACAUACACUGUAUUUAAAACCAACCAAAUGACACAAGACACUGCCAAAUAUUUAAGAACCCUCAAGGAAGCUAUGUGUGAAGAGCACUCACGAAGCAUGUCCAUCUUUUGGCUGUGGGGGGUUGCAGAAGAAGGAGAGCAGGGCAGGGAGUCAAACGCCACAUCGCUCAUGCUUUCAUCUCCAGAGUUUUCAGACAGGCGGGAGAGCAGGGGAGGCCGACUACCAGAGAUGGUCCUCACCCGGCUGCUGCCACACUUCUCCUCUGUGCCACGCAGAAUUGUCUGAGCCGAUUCCUUGGCAAAUUAACAAGAAAAUCCCAUGAGUAAUGCUUCACUGUAUUCUAAUUAUGAUACAUAAGUCAACAUGGCUGCUCCUCCACAGGGGCCCUCUCCACAGAAGUAGGGGGAAAAGUAAGCAGGUAUACCUGUUGACUCCCUUUGUAAAGUUCUAGACCCUGACAACAUAUCAACUGCUGGCAUUAUUACAGCCAGAGAAAAUUCAGGUUAGGAAUGAAUUUCAUUCAAAAUGUAUCCCAAAGUUCCAGCCUUGCAAACAUCAACUGAAGCUGAGAUCAGUUAAAGGUGAGCAGUUCUAUUCUUUUUUAGUUUCCAAAUUAGUUUUGUGACCUAAAAAAACCCACCCUACUAACGAUUUUAGCAUUCAAAGCAUUCAGAUUUGGUCCCAAAUAUGUCUGUAUUGCAAUGUUCUCCAUUAAUUAAAAUUACUGCAUGAAUUCAGAGGACAGAUAAGUAAAUUUUAAACUGCUGUAUUUUAAACUGCAACAUUAGUAAUUAAUGUGUUUUAUCUACCACAUAAAUCAUAUAUUUGAGUUUUAUUAACAGUUCUUUUAAAAUCAGAAUAAAUCAGCUAUAUUGCUUAGCUA